RNAcentral lists this ribosomal RNA (292 nucleotides) under uncultured bacterium. Its description in RNAcentral is "partial 16S ribosomal RNA". It matches the Rfam family "Bacterial small subunit ribosomal RNA", at positions 337 to 643 of the family's 1533-position model. The record is from RNAcentral.
UCCUACGGGACGCAGCAGUGGGGAAUAUUGCACAAUGGGCGAAAGCCUGAUGCAGCAACGCCGCGUGAAGGAAGAAGGGUUUCGGCUCGUAAACUUCUAUCAACAGGGACGAAAGAAAUGACGGUACCUGAAUAAGAAGCCCCGGCUAACUACGUGCCAGCAGCCGCGGUAAUACGUAGGGGGCAAGCGUUAUCCGGAUUUACUGGGUGUAAAGGGAGCGUAGACGGCUAAUCAAGUCAGAAGUGAAAACCCAGGGCUCAACCUUGGGAGUGCUUUUGAAACUGAGUAGCUA